GUACACGCUGUGACUAGCAUAUCAAUAAGCGGAGGAAAAGAAACUAACAAGGAUUCCCCUAGUAACGGCGAGUGAAGCGGGAAGAGCUCAAAUUUGAAAUCUUAAAGGGUUUCCCUUUACGAAUUGUAGUUUAAAGAAGUGUUUUCUGUUGAGGUUUUGGUAAAAGUUCUUUGGAAUAGGACAUCAUAGAGGGUGAGAAUCCCGUAUUUGACCUUUACUUUCAACUUUGUGAUACACUUUCAAAGAGUCGGAUUGUUUGGGAAUGCAGUCCAAAAUGGGUGGUAAAUUUCAUCUAAAGCUAAAUAUUGGCGAGAGACCGAUAGCGAACAAGUACCGUGAGGGAAAGAUGAAAAGAACUUUGAAAAGAGAGUUAAACAGUACGUGAAAUUGUCAAAAGGGAAGCGUUUGACACCAGUGUUGUUUUUCUGAAAAUCAAUUAAAGAACUGUUUAUGCUAAGCUGUUUAGACUUUAUCAGCUAUACUGUUUAGUUUUGAGCUUUUCUUUAAUGCACUUUUCAGUUAACAAGUCAACAUCAAUUUCUUUUGCUGUAAAAAAGCUUGAGGAAGGUGGCUUGAGAUUCGUCUUAAGUGUUUAUAGCCUCUUGCCUAUGCAGUCGGAGAGAUUGAGGUCUGCAGCGUAGAUCCUUCGGGGCUAAAUGCAUUUGUGCUAAGUUAUAGCAUUUCAUAGACAACUUGUUGACUAUGAUUUGUCUUGUAGCUUACUCGCUUAUGUUAUUUUACCUACGCUUAGGAUGUUGACGCGCGUGUGUGCGUG
RNAcentral lists this ribosomal RNA (775 nucleotides) under uncultured Neocallimastigales. RNAcentral describes it as "partial large subunit ribosomal RNA". It matches the Rfam family "Eukaryotic large subunit ribosomal RNA", at positions 22 to 639 of the family's 3401-position model. Lineage: Eukaryota; Fungi; Neocallimastigomycota; Neocallimastigomycetes; Neocallimastigales. The record is from RNAcentral.